CAGGAGAUCUGCGCCUUCCGGCUGACCGGCCAGUCCAAGGCCGUCGUCGCCUGCGCCCUGAUCAGGAAGGAGCGCGGCUGGGCGUUCCGCUGCCUGAACACGCCUCAGGAGCAGGGCCAGGUCGUGCAGCAGCUCCGGGAGAAGAUCGCCAAGGACUUU
RNAcentral lists this non-coding RNA (159 nucleotides) under Heterocapsa arctica. Lineage: Eukaryota; Dinophyceae; Peridiniales; Heterocapsaceae. The record is from RNAcentral.